RNAcentral lists this ribosomal RNA (253 nucleotides) under uncultured bacterium. RNAcentral describes it as "partial 16S ribosomal RNA". It matches the Rfam family "Bacterial small subunit ribosomal RNA", at positions 524 to 776 of the family's 1533-position model. The record is from RNAcentral.
UACGGGAGGUGCAAGCGUUGUUCGGAGUGACUGGGCGUAAAGCGCACGUAGGCGGGUUAGUAUGUCGAAUGUGAAAUCCCCGGGCUUAACCUGGGAAUGGCAUUCGAAACUGCAAAUCUUGAAUACCUCAGAGGUUGGUGGAAUUCCUGGUGUAGGAGUGAAAUCCGUAGAUAUCAGGAGGAACAUCGGAGGCGAAGGCGGCCAACUGGGAGAGUAUUGACGCUGAGGUGCGAAAGCGUGGGGAGCAAACAGG